AUGAAACAUCUCAGCUGGAACUGCCGGGGGCUUGGGAACCCCGAGGCAGUUCGCGAGCUUCGGAAGAUUACGAAGCAGGAAGGUCCCAGCCUAAUCUUUGUGAUGGAAACGAAGAUUAGAGCAAAGAGAGUUGAAAUUCUGAAGCAUACACUCAGGUUUUCGGGCUGUUUUGCUGUUGACAGCGCGGGGCUUAGUGGAGGCCUUGGUUUGUUCUGGUCAAGUGAUAUUUCGGUUGAUCUAAAGAGUUAUAGUUCCGGCCACAUCGAUGUGGUGGCGCGGAAAGUUGGUUCUCCCUUGUACGAAUGGAGAUUCACGGGGUUCUACGGAGCUUCGAGGAGUGAGGAUCGGCAUCACAGUUGGACUUGUUUGAGAAGGCUACAUGCAAUACCGCAUCAAGCAUGGCCAUGUCUUGGUGACUUCAACGAAACGAUGCAUGCCACAGAACACUUCAGCCGAGCGCAGAGGGCGGAGUGGCAGAUGCACGCGUUUCAGGACGUUUUAGAUGAUUGCUCCCUGCAGGACUUUGGUUUUUCAGGGGUGCCAUACACUUGGGAUAAUGGUUAG
Molecule: ribosomal RNA, 564 nt
Filed under: Triticum aestivum (bread wheat)
Lineage: Eukaryota; Viridiplantae; Streptophyta; Magnoliopsida; Poales; Poaceae
Description: partial small subunit ribosomal RNA
Source: RNAcentral